CAGAUGACAUAAUGGUAAACACAGUAAGGUUCAUGAUGUUUUCAUCUGGAAACGAUCCAGCUGUCUUAAAGGAGGUGCCACAGAGAGUGCUUUUUCCACACUCUGCAGUGUAACAUAUCCCAAACCGCCUCAGCUGGGUUGAGGUCAGGUGAUUGUUGAUGUGAGGCCAUGUGCUGCAGCACUCCAUCAGUUUGUAUCUCGGUGAGACAACUCUUACAGAGCCUGGAGGUGUGUUUUUAGAUUUUUAUCCUCCCGCAAAGCAGAUGGUGUUCCCCCAACUGAACUCGAACCUGAAGGGAUGUUGGGUCACUGAAGAAUUAUGUUACUCUGCUGAUUAGAAUUCAUCAUACAUCGCCAACAGUGUCACUACCAAAGUCCGUCCACCAUUAAAGAAAGGUUGGUUUUUACUUUUUGCUUUCUUGGCAUUGUACUAAGCUGAUUGUAGGGCUAUGUCAGCAUGUGUGAGUCAACAGGAGUUCAGUGGGAAGCUCGAUGAGUAAUCAACCUUGAUGACGAUGCAGUAUUAGCUCACAGCUAUAUCUGCAAGCAGAUGAUGUCAUGGUAAAUAUGUUCAUAAGAGAUGAUACAUAGUGUUGCCAAUUAAAUGGAUUACAAGGUGGUCAGUGCUCGCUAGAUGUACACAGCAGUGAAUUCUUGGUGCAAUCCAACUUCGAUCAUUAAAUUCUAUCUAUCCAUUUUUUGUUGUUGUUGUUUUUUUUUUUAUAGCUUUUUUUCUUUCAAAAACACAACCUAAACAGAUUGUCAUAGCAUUUGCUAUGGGUAGUUCUUUAUUUACUGUGCUUGGGUUUGCUUGAAUCAACUGGGUGUUGUGUUUGUGGCGUUUCAAACGUUGCAGAGAGCCCUCUGAUGGACAAAAUAGGCAAAGCCAACACUUGUAGGAUGGAGGAAGGAUGUUUCUCCCAUUUCUUUUUAAAUUGUUACUUAUUUGCAGUUAUAAAUGCCAACACUGAUAAAUCAGCAAAUAGCUAAUAUUGCCCCACCAAUAAAUCAGUGAGACUCAUAUUUCGAGCUUCU
Molecule: long non-coding RNA, 1035 nt
Organism: Astatotilapia calliptera (eastern happy)
Lineage: Eukaryota; Metazoa; Chordata; Actinopteri; Cichliformes; Cichlidae
Source: Ensembl